This 253-nucleotide ribosomal RNA is filed under the name uncultured bacterium. RNAcentral describes it as "partial 16S ribosomal RNA". It matches the Rfam family "Bacterial small subunit ribosomal RNA", at positions 524 to 776 of the family's 1533-position model. The record is from RNAcentral.
UACGUAGGUUGCAAGCGUUGUCCGGAUUUACUGGGCGUAAAGGGAGCGUAGGCGGAUACUUAAGUGGGAUGUGAAAUACCCGGGCUCAACCUGGGUGCUGCAUUCCAAACUGGGUGUCUAGAGUGCAGGAGAGGAAAGUGGAAUUCCUAGUGUAGCGGUGAAACGCGUAGAGAUUAGGAAGAACACCAGUGGCGAAGGCGACUUUCUGGACUGUAACUGACGCUGAGGCUCGAAAGCGUGGGGAGCAAACAAG